UAGCUAGUUGGUGAGGUAAAGGCUUACCAAGGCGACGAUCUGUAGCGGGUCUGAGAGGAUGAUCCGCCACACUGGAACUGAGACACGGUCCAGACUCCUACGGGAGGCAGCAGUGGGGAAUUUUGGACAAUGGGGGCAACCCUGAUCCAGCCAUGCCGCGUGAGUGAAGAAGGCCUUCGGGUUGUAAAGCUCUUUCGGCCGGGAAGAAAUCGCAUGGGCCAAUACCCUGUGUGGAUGACGGUACCGGAAUAAGAAGCACCGGCUAACUACGUGCCAGCAGCCGCGGUAAUACGUAGGGUGCGAGCGUUAAUCGGAAUUACUGGGCGUAAAGCGUGCGCAGGCGGUUUUGUAAGACAGGCGUGAAAUCCCCGGGCUUAACCUGGGAACUGCGUUUGUGACUGCAAGGCUAGAGUACGGCAGAGGGGGGUGGAAUUCCACGUGUAGCAGUGAAAUGCGUAGAGAUGUGGAGGAACACCAAUGGCGAAGGCAGCCCCCUGGGUCGAUACUGACGCUCAUGCACGAAAGCGUGGGUAGCAAACAGGAUUAGAUACCCUGGUAGUCCACGCCCUAAACUAUGUCAACUAGGUGUUGGGUGGGUAAAACCAUUUAGUACCGUAGCUAACGCGUGAAGUUGACCGCCUGGGGAGUACGGCCGCAAGGUUAAAACUCAAAGGAAUUGACGGGGACCCGCACAAGCGGUGGAUGAUGUGGAUUAAUUCGAUGCAACGCGAAAAACCUUACCUACCCUUGACAUGCCAGGAACUUGCCAGAGAUGGCUUGGUGCCCGAAAGGGAGCCUGGACACAGGUGCUGCAUGGCUGUCGUCAGCUCGUGUCGUGAGAUGUUGGGUUAAGUCCCGCAACGAGCGCAACCCUUGUCGUUAAUUGCCAUCAUUUGGUCGGGCACUUUAACGAGACUGCCGGUGACAAACCGGAGGAAGGUGGGGAUGACGUCAAGUCCUCAUGGCCCUUAUGGGUAGGGCUUCACACGUCAUACAAUGGUCGGUACAAAGGGUUGCCAAGCCGCGAGGCGGAGCCAAUCCCAGAAAGCCGAUCGUAGUCCGGAUUGCAGGCUGCAACUCGCCUGCAUGAAGUCGGAAUCGCUAGUAAUCGUGGAUCAGCAUGUCACGGUGAAUACGUUCCCGGGUCUUGUACACACCGCCCGUCACACCAUGGGAGCGGGUUCCGCCAGAAGUAGGUAGCCUAACCGCAAGGAGGGCGCUUACCACGGCGGGGUUCGUGACUGGGGUGAAGUCGUAACAAGGUAGCCGUAGGGGAACCUGCGGCUG
RNAcentral lists this ribosomal RNA (1287 nucleotides) under metagenome. RNAcentral describes it as "bacterial SSU rRNA". It matches the Rfam family "Bacterial small subunit ribosomal RNA", at positions 242 to 1520 of the family's 1533-position model. The record is from RNAcentral.